GUUCCUCCUUCCGGUGAUGUUUGGAAAGUGAAACUCAUCUUUGGCUCUCACAUGCACGAGCGGCACGGGAGCGCGCACAGACUGUUGCAGCAGAAAGUGAUCCUCUGAUAGAAGGUGUGCACCACCUGCAGGACGGCUGCCAGGCGGCGGUCCAGAGCAGACAGGUGAGCUUCUGACAGGAGAGGAGCAGCAUCUGCCAGAGGAUCCCGAGCCAACGAUUCCCGCAUGACGUCGCUCAGACGGAAGUCAGGGAGGGCCAGGAGACGCAGCCGGAGGAGGGUGGAGCGCCGGAUCCUGUAGAGGUCGGUGGACAGGAGGGAAGGCAACGGGUUUAAUUAAAAAAAUAAUAACAGAAAGACAUGAGACACCACAUUUCUGUCUGGGUUCUUUAGGUAUACAGUGACUAUAAAAGUGUUCACUCCCGUGGAUGUUUCACCGUUUUGUUGUUUCCAUACAUUAAGUCAUGGUCAGUAUAAUUUUGCUUUUUUGACAAGAAUUUGCAAAAAAAAAAAAAAACAACUUUAAUAUCAAAGCAGGAC
This is a long non-coding RNA of Acanthochromis polyacanthus (spiny chromis), 539 nucleotides long. RefSeq lists it as uncharacterized. Lineage: Eukaryota; Metazoa; Chordata; Actinopteri; Pomacentridae. The transcript is spliced from 2 exons. The record is from RefSeq and is a predicted model, not a curated record.